AAACAUUUCCAGAUUCCAUUUUGACUAUCACUUCUGAACAAGAGUUGCCUCCUUACAGAUUAUGUCAAUAUGGUCCUUCCAGAAUUAUCACUAUACUUCCAACUGUCCUUGAGCAACCAAUCUUUGGUAAACCUUAGAUUGUCCUCGACAAUUGUUUAAUCCUUUUAGUCAUAUCCAGUUCUAAACCUUUUCCCUUCUUAAUGCCCCAGGCAUUUGGAAAAUUUUAGAACGGAUGAAUAUAGCACAUGUAAUCGAUCCUAUAUCCGAAGCAUAUGGGACACGAUUCAUGAUGUCUCACAUAAAGACUAAACCAGUCUUUUGCUAUAACAUUUCCAUUUCAAUUUGCCAAGUUCUCAUAAUUCAGAUUAUGAAAAGGGAUGCCGUAAUCAUAAUCGAAUUUUAGAACGCAAAUAAUGGACCCAUAUACAGAAUUUCCUUAUGUUGAGCCAUUCCAACAUGAAAUUCAUAUAUAUCCUUGACUAAAUGAUUAAAACCUCACGAUCUAAGCUUAUAGAUUUGAGAUGAAGUAUAAUUUCCUCUCCCUUAAUUAUAGCAAAACAACUUUUUCCCAAUUGAAACUUUUGUUUUCUAUAAUUAACAUUGCUAACUUGCAAUACUUAUCAUAAUUAUCAUGCUCCCACUAACAUGAUGAUUAUUAGCAUAACACUUAUGCUCCCACUAGCUUUGACAUGUACUCAGAAAUCAGCUGGACUUCUAGAAAUCAAUACUUCAUUGACUUUCUUACCAAAGUUCAGAUUUCUGAUGCUAGAUUGUUUUGAUAAAACUUUAUCAAAAUCAUACACCUUCCCUUAGAUAGCACACUUGUGUAUCUAAACAAUUAUGAAGAGGGAUGCCGUAAUCAUAAUGUUUAGACCUUUUUGCCACUUCUCACAAGUCCAAAUUAGUGUGCCGGUUAACCACACGCGCUCCACUAACGACUUUGAGAAUGCAAAUAUCACAAUUGCUAUCUAGCUAAAAUCUACUUAGUGAAAGUGUUUCCUCACCAUCAUUUUCAUGAAUCGGAGAGAAACCUUAUGACACUUAGAUUUAAUGGUGUAUGUGUUCUUAUCCAUGUGAAUUGUCAAAAUCAUAGUCACAAGACAAGGAUAAUGACAAAUCCAAACUCAUAUGGACUGAACUCAAUCUUAAUUUCUUGCCACCUGGCAGCUCAAGGGCCUACCAUUGCUUCCAAGUUGUUGUGCAACCAAUUGAGAACUCUAAGAACUCAUAUGCAAAGCCAACUUUAACUGGAAUGGGCACAGAAUAUGUCAACACGAUAGGUUAUAAACCUCAAGUCGUGUGCUAGUGAAGAACUUCAGGUUUUAUUCUUGAUUAGUUCUUGAGACUUUCAAGACCUUUAAGACUCCCACUGUCCUCUUGACAUAUAAGACUCCCUUGUCAAACAUCCAAGAGAUAGUGCGGAUUCUAAUCAAGAAAAACACUUUACCCAAUUGGCCUAAGUUGGUCUUUGUUUUAUCCAAAACAUCACAACUUACCAAUUUCAAAUGUACAAGAGUAGAAAACUUUUACUCUUACAUUUGACAAGUGUUUUAAACCUUCUUUAAGACAUGUCACUCAAAUGACAAUCUUGGAGUAUGACUCUAAGACUUGUAUUGGAACGAAGUAUGACUCAUCUUCUUGAUUUAACCAUUUCAACAAUUCAAGUUCCUCUUCUUAGUCAUAAGAAUGCACUAAGAUUUCCUUAGAGAACUAAUUUUGAUAUGGUUUCUUAAUCAUUAAGAUGAUCACAAAACUGAUACUAAAGUACUCUCCCAUCUUUUCAGAUUUGAGAAACUUUUAUCCUUCUGCCUUAUUUGAUUCUUCUUAUUCGCCCUGCCAUACAUUGGAACCUUUUCCAAUGUCUCAGAGUUACACUUAAGCUUGUAAGUAUAAUCAUAUUUACUGAGCUUUAGUAAACUAUGACGAAUAGUCUUAUCAAUCUUUUGUGGUGGACUUAAUCAGUGCACAAGAAUGUGUACUCGAUCCCUUAGUCCUUUACUUGACUCACACAUCCAUGUGGCCGAGUAAUUAGUCUUAAUUUUCCAAAACUUGAAAGUUCUCAUUCAUCAUGCUAUACAACUUGCAUGAUUCCAAGUUCCGGUCCAAUUGAAACUUGGGUGAUGAGAAUCUUUCCUUAUUUGGUAAAUCUAGACAUUACCACAAAUGAAAGAAUCAAUUUCAUAUUUCCACUCUUGCUCUUAAUGGAAUCAUAUAAGCAACAAUUUUUCCUCAAAAGCCAUUGUAAGGAUAUUUUAAAAUAAAUAAAAUCAAAAAAAUUUUCUUUUAUUUUAAAACUUUGCGGAAAAACUUAUCCUUACAAUCCAUAUGAAAACUUGUUGUUAUCUAUUCCUAAGCAAUAUCUCAUAACUCCUAAGAAGUUGCUCAAGAAUCCGAUCUUCAAACUAUGCGAUAGAAAUCCAUCUACGCCAUCAGAUUCAGCAUAUUCUUUCUUUAAGUUUCUUCACUUUUCUUUGAUUCUUAAAACAUCACCAUGUGACCCAGUCACAUCAUGUAUCAGGAAUCUCAGAAUAGAAACUUAACAGAGUUAGAUAGUGGUCUUUACCUGAAGUAGAGUCAAACUUAUUGACUUUAACAUCCUUAGGUAAAUUUGGCAGCUUCGCAACCAAUGCCCCUUCCCUUGGCAAUAUAAACAUAUGGACCCUUUGAUAAUGGUACACGAGACUAUCACAGACUUAGCUUUUCUCUUUACCAUUUGGUCAACCGAGUUGACUAUGGCCGAUCCCUUUCCAUUGGGAAGAGAAUGCUUUACUGGAUAUCCAAUGUCAUCAUUGUCAAUGUCCAUAAAGUUUUAGGAAGUUGAUCUUAGCAAAUAGAUAAGAUCAUUAAGGGUCUUGUCAUAGUCUGUUUCAUAGGUGUCCCAAAGGAACUCACUAUGUGACUUAGAAAGUGAUUGAACCACCAACUUUCUCAAGACUUUGACACCCAACUCUCCCGGCUUGUCAAUAUGUGACUACAUCUCCAAGAUGUGAUCACACCUAGACCUUGCCUUGCCAAUAGGGCUUGAGUGACCUUAAACUUUUCAAGAACUUGUGGGUUAGGGAGAAUAAUUGGAGGAGGUGAAAGAAGUAUGAUUUCCAAAGGACAUCAUCUUCAUUUAGGAAACCUUGUUUCACUAGAUUUGGGAAGAUCAUAGGUGUCUAUUACAGACAUCUUUUGGGAGAUAUUCAAGAUAGUUGAUUUAAAGUCCUUAAUAUGACACCCAAUAUGAAAUAUUAAGGCUAGGACCCAACAAACUAUUUUAUAACUUAGAAGAGGUAUGCCGUAAUCCAAGCUAUAAAAUAUUUGAAGGUAGGUGAAUGACGAUUCACCAAUUUCCACCAAGAUAAACGAAAUGUAUUAUUAGGUUUUAAUUGGUUUUGAAACUCCUAGAUCUUUGAGAUUCAUUGAACUUUUCAAAGGCAUGUUUCAAUCUCGAGUGUGCCCUUCAGGUUUUGUGACUGGGAUGCCGAGGAUCACAAAACAAGGUGUGAAGUAACCAUGCAAAUCACUUGGUACCCUUAAUAAAUUACCCCUCAAUCGAUGUGCCGGUUAACCACACACGCUCCAUCGAUACUAUGAUAAAUAUUAAGUCACCCUUUACCUACCUUGUUAAGUCCAAGUUAGUGUGCCGGUUAACCACACACGCUCCACUAACGACUUAGACAAAGUGUAAAGUGUAAUUUCAUGGAUUAGCACCUUAUUCACAUUUUUCCUAAGUAACUAAGAUUGGGUAUUAUUAAGAGUUUAGUUACUUAGUAUUAUCAUUAAUACUUUUAAUGAAGGGAGAAUUCUAGUCCUGUCAAACCCGUUCGGCUAACGACCCUCCACCAGUCAAGCAAGCGGUGGGUGAGAGUGGACACCCAUUAAGUUGCCAUUUUAUAGGCAACAACCUUAUACCCACCUUAUAGACCGGCUUCGUGAAUGAGGCGUACUAGCGGUAAGACUGACUUUACUCUUAUACAUAUAUAUAUUAUUAACUUAUAAUAUUAUAAAGUAUAAGGGUUGAAUUUGAACUUUUAAAAUUCUAAGGGCUAACUUGGAAUUAAAGUAUUCAUAAGUGAAAAGUUUUCAAAUUCCAAAACUUGAGGGCAUGUUUUGAAACUAUUCAAAACUAAUUAAUUCCAUAACUUAUGUGUUUAAAGUAGUUUUAAUUAAAAAAAACCCUUCAAGUUCCAUAACAUGAGGACAAGUUAUGGAAGACUUUAAAUUAUUAAAGAAUGUAACUUUUUCUUUAUUUUGUAAGUUAUGGAAUUAAUUAAGGUUACAUAUUUUAUUACUUAAUGAAGUGACUCUUGAACCUCCAUAACUUGAGGACAAGACUCUUCAUUUUUUGUAACCAUUGCCAACUUUUAUGAGUUUUAUGAAACUUAGAUGUGACUUUUCAUAUAUAACUUGAGGACAAGUUACAAAAACACAUUUUAGAAUCAACUCUUAGAUUAAUUUGGAUUGAAAACAAUAAUUUCACAUAACUUUCUAUUAAUCUAAGCAACUCAUAAGAACAAGAUGAUCAAAACAAAACUUUUUCNCAAACUUUUUCAUGUAAUUAGUCUAAACCUUAAACUAAUACAAAACAUGAAUCUAUUGACAAUUAUCUUUGAAAUUGGAUUAGCAUGAACAUUACCACAUCAAAAACAAGUUUAUAAGUCCAAAAACAUCUUAGGGUAAUGUUCCUAGUCUAAUUUUCAGCCAAAAAAACUCGAAAAUAUGCUAUCUGGGGCUCCAACUCGUUGAGUGCACGAACCAACUCGGCGAGUUGGAUAUAUUUUUCCUUGGACUCGACGAGUCCAUUCCUGGACUCGGCAAGUCUUCUGGGCAAACAACAUUGAAACUCGAUUUUUCAGCUACUUUAGCAAGUAUAACAAGAAAACAAGUCUGGGCUCUAAUACCAUUGAUGGGUUUUGAGCAUUCUAACACUCCUAAGUGNNNNNNNNNNNNNNNNNNNNNNNNNNNNNNNNNNNNNNNNNNNNNNNNNNNNNNNNNNNNNNNNNNNNNNNNNNNNNNNNNNNNNNNNNNNNNNNNNNNNGGUUUGAAUAACUUAGUCAAUCAGAAUAAUGACCUAGUUAUUCUGAAAGUCAAAAACAUGAAAAGUGAAACACAAUAAUAAUCGAAUCCAAUAUGGUCUCAGAACUUAUGAAUAUAAAUAAACACCUUUUAUUUAUCACCAUAUGAUUACACAUUAUUCAUUGGAUACUGUUUCAUCUUUACUUUGUGAAAUAGAUCAAUUGAACAUAACUCCAAUGAUCCUCUUUUCAUAGUCCCAAAUCCGUACUGCAAAUGCAAGAAUUCCAAAUUCAUGCGAUUUACUAAAAUCUGUUAGAUUCUAAACUUAUAUGCAUUGAUCCUCUUGUAAUGAUUAUGCACAAAUCACAAGGACUUGACAACAAACAUUAAAAAGUAUUCCAAAGGAGAUCAACUCCUUGGAAACAUCCUUCUUGCAUUAAGUUUCCUUAAUCUUACACAGAUUGAAAUUUCUAACUUUGAAACAUUUCCGGAUUCCAUUUUGAUUAUCACUUCUUAACAAUAGUUGCCUCCUUACAAAUUAUGUCAAUAUGGUCCUUCUAGAAUUAUCACUAUACUUCCAACUGUCCUUGAGCAUCCAAUCUUUGGUAAACCUUAGAUUGUCCUCGACAAUUGUUUAAUCCUUUUAGUCAUAUCCAAUUCUAGACCUUUUUCCCUUCUUAAUGCCCCAGACAUUUGGAAAAUUUUAGAAAGGAUGAAUAUAGCACAUGUAAUCGAUCCUAUAUCCGAAGCAUAUGGGACACGAUUCAUGAUGUCUCACAUAAAGACUAAACCAGUCUUUUGCUAUAACAUUUCCAUUUC
This 5820-nucleotide long non-coding RNA is filed under the name Lactuca sativa (garden lettuce). RNAcentral's name for it is "long non-coding RNA (LSAT_LNC005016)". The record is from RNAcentral. Lineage: Eukaryota; Viridiplantae; Streptophyta; Magnoliopsida; Asterales; Asteraceae.